Molecule: ribosomal RNA, 806 nt
Filed under: uncultured bacterium
Lineage: Bacteria
Description: bacterial SSU rRNA
Rfam family: Bacterial small subunit ribosomal RNA
Source: RNAcentral
UUGAGCGGAGAUAUAUGGAGCUUGCUUUAUAUAACUUAGCAGCGAACGGGUGAGUAACACGUAGAUAAUCUAUCCUAUACUGGGGGAUAGCCCGAUGAAAGUUGGAUUAAUACCGCAUAUAGCUAUAUAGUUGCAUGAUUAUGUAGUGAAAGAUUUAUUGGUAUAGGAGGAGUCUGCGGCACAUUAGCUAGUAGGUGAGGUAAAGGCUUACCUAGGCGACGAUGUGUAGCCGGUCUGAGAGGAUGAACGGCCACAAUGGAACUGAGACACGGUCCAUACUCCUACGGGAGGCAGCAGUGGGGAAUAUUGCACAAUGGGGGAAACCCUGAUGCAGCAACGCCGCGUGAGUGAAGAAGGUUUUCGGAUUGUAAAGCUCUGUUAGCAGGGAAGAGGAAGGACGGUACCUGCAGAGGAAGCCACGGCUAACUACGUGCCAGCAGCCGCGGUAAUACGUAGGUGGCAAGCGUUGUUCGGAAUAACUGGGCGUAAAGGAUGCGUAGGCGGUUAAACAAGUUAUAUGUUAAAUAUAUAGGCUUAACCUGUAGAAAGCAUAUAAAACUGUUUAACUAGAGUGCAGGAGAGGUAAGUGGAAUUCCUAGUGUAGCGGUGAAAUGCGUAGAGAUUAGGAAGAACACCAGUGGCGAAGGCGACUUACUGGACUGUAACUGACGCUGAGGCAUGAGAGCAUGGGGAGCAAACAGGAUUAGAUACCCUGGUAGUCCAUGCUGUAAACGAUGGGUACUAGGUGUGGGUUGUGAAUAACAAUUCGUGCCGUCGCAAACGCAAUAAGUACCCCGCCUGAGGAG